CCUACGGGCGGCAGCAGUGAGGAAUAUUGGUCAAUGGCCGGGAGGCUGAACCAGCCAAGUCGCGUGAGGGAAGACGGCCCUACGGGUUGUAAACCUCUUUUGUCAGGGAGCAAGGUGCAGGUCGGGACCUGCUGUGAGAGUACCUGAAGAAACAGCAUCGGCUAACUCCUUGCCAGCAGCCGCGGUAAUACGGAGGAGGCGAGCGUUAUCCGGAUUUUUUGGGUUUAAAGGGGGCGCCGGCGGGGGCACAAGUCAGGGGUAAAAUUGCGGGGCUCAACCCCGCUCCGCCGUUGAAACUGUGUCCCUGGAGUGAGCGAAGGGUAGGCGGAAUGCGUGGUGUAGCGGUGAAAUGCAUAGAUAUCACGCAGAACUCCGAUCGCGAAGGCAGCCUACCGGCGCGCAACUGACGCUCAUGCACGAAAGCGUGGGUAUCGAACAGGAUUAGAUACCCGAGUAGUC
RNAcentral lists this ribosomal RNA (459 nucleotides) under uncultured bacterium. RNAcentral describes it as "partial 16S ribosomal RNA". It matches the Rfam family "Bacterial small subunit ribosomal RNA", at positions 338 to 795 of the family's 1533-position model. The record is from RNAcentral.